This is a long non-coding RNA of Spinacia oleracea (spinach), 643 nucleotides long. RefSeq lists it as uncharacterized. Lineage: Eukaryota; Viridiplantae; Streptophyta; Magnoliopsida; Caryophyllales; Amaranthaceae. The transcript has 3 exons. The record is from RefSeq and is a predicted model, not a curated record.
CUUUCAAUUAAUGGUUAGUAUUAACGAGCUGUAGGAAGAUUUUAGUCAAUAGCAUCGAUAUAUGUUCAAUGGGACUUCACGAUCUAAGGUUACGUUUUGGGAUUAUCCCUCAAGACCCUGCACUCUUCGAUGCAUGGUUCUUGAAGAUUCAACUUGGAUCCAUUGAGCUAGCAUAAAGAUGAACAAAUAUGGGAGGUGCUUGAGAAAUGUCAGCUGAAAGAGGCAGUCCAAGAAAAAGAUCAGGGCCUACAUUCCUUAGUUGUGGAGGAUGGAGAAAAUUGGAGCAUGGGACAACGACAAUUAUUUUGUCUAGGACGACUUUACUAAGGAGAAGCAAAGUAUUGGUGCUCGAUGAAGCAACUGCUGUUGUUUAUGUGUCACAUCGUCUUUCUGUUGUUUAUGUCUAGGACGUGCUUUUAUUUAUGUGUCACGUCGACUUUCUGCUGCUGUUGCUGCUGUUUGAAUUUGAAUCUUGGAUUCGCUUGUGUUGUUCACUAGCUUGUAAUAUUUCUAGACCUGAUCAAACGGCGGGCCGGACUGGGUUCGGGCCGGGCCUGGGCAUAAAAAAUCGGACCGCUAUGUCGGGUCGGGCCAAGGUCCGGCCAAAAAUUUGUGCCCAAACCCGCUAUUUUUGGGCCUAAAA